UACGUAGGGUGCAAGCGUUGUCCGGAAUUAUUGGGCGUAAAGAGCUCGUAGGCGGUUUGUCGCGUCUGGUGUGAAAAUCCAGGGCUUAACCCUGGACCUGCAUCGGGUACGGGCAGACUAGAGUGCGGUAGGGGAGAUCGGAACUCCUGGUGUAGCGGUGGAAUGCGCAGAUAUCAGGAAGAACACCGGUGGCGAAGGCGGCUCUCUGGGCCUUACCUGACGCUGAGGAGCGAAAGCGUGGGUAGCGAACAGG
RNAcentral lists this ribosomal RNA (253 nucleotides) under uncultured bacterium. Its description in RNAcentral is "partial 16S ribosomal RNA". It matches the Rfam family "Bacterial small subunit ribosomal RNA", at positions 524 to 776 of the family's 1533-position model. The record is from RNAcentral.